UGACCUGGCUUGGAGUAAUCAAAAUCUACCCCUGCAAUGGAUGAUGAAUCACCUUCUCAGAGUUUCCUGGAUGACAAAGAAAAAGAACUCCAAGCACUGGGAUAAACACAUGAGAUACAGAAGCACAGGAACAAGAAACAGCUUGAAAUGGCAUGGCUCACAAAAAUAAUCUGGUACCACCAGGUGAUCCGGACAGGACCAGAACCUGACUUCAGGCAGAAGGUUACAGGUGAAAGAGUUGGGAUGGCUAGAGUGCUCAUCACUGAAGAAAAAAAGGAAUGGGGGGCCUGCAGACCUUCAGACCUCCAAAACACCCCACCUGGCUGAGUUCUUCUGACUCAAGACUGCUAAGGCCAGUGGCUGUGCUGCAAGCAUAACAGAAAUCCAUUGAAGAAUUUCUGGAUGUGGUUCAGGAGAGGAAGAGGAAUGUCAAAUUUAAGAACUAAAAGGUGGGAGAAGAAAACUAAAAUAGUUUUCAUCACAUGUAAUGUUUUUGAAAAAAGAAUCCAGCAGUUCUUUCUCAGGGCUCUUUAUAAUAAUGGACCAAGGCUUUUACAGGAUCUCUCAUUACAGUCGUGCUGGCAAUUCGAAAGUAUGUUACUAAUGUUACCAAUUGCAUCACUCGGGAAUGUUUUUCCCACCUCUGUAACUCUUCUGCUUUUGCUUCUUGCUUAUUUGAGUUUCUCUGUCUUUGAGGUCAUGCAAUUGUAAAGACAGUCACAAAUAGAUCCAGAGAGACGCCCUGCAUUCUGCGAAGACCUUUGGUCCUUGAAUAGCAAUUGAAUGUGUUUCUCUAGAAAGGAGAAGAAGUCAAGGUAUUUGGGCUGGAGGUGGUGCAGCCUUCAUUCAUUAUAUAAUUUUCUAGAACCCUAACACCAGUUUGUUUAGGGCAUGAACAUUUACAAAAAUCACAUUAAAAAGAAGCCAGUGGGCGAGUGUGCAUUACUUGUUCAUUGUAUAUAGAGCUCGCAAAUCAAAAAACCUGAUCGCUAGGCUAUGGCUCUAAUUAUGCCCUUUUAUACAACUGCAGCAGGAAUGUCCCAUAUUGUAGGUCACCGAGAAUAUAUUGAAUCCAGGGCCCGCUAAGGCCUUUCCUGAAAAUUGUAGAGGUUUGAGUUAACAGAGCUAGUCUUUUGUGACUUGGAGAAUUUAAACGGAGGAAGGUUGUUUGUACCUGUAAUUUGAGAAGUACCACCUCCUGGGGUAGGGGUAGGCGGCGGGGAGCUUAAUUGUGUCGUGGCUG
This is a long non-coding RNA of Neofelis nebulosa (Clouded leopard), 1243 nucleotides long. RefSeq lists it as uncharacterized. NCBI's taxonomy places the organism in Eukaryota, Metazoa, Chordata, Mammalia, Carnivora, Felidae. The transcript has 4 exons. The record is from RefSeq and is a predicted model, not a curated record.